This 2498-nucleotide long non-coding RNA is filed under the name Rhinopithecus bieti (black snub-nosed monkey). RNAcentral's name for it is "lncRNA (ENSRBIG00000045529.1)". Lineage: Eukaryota; Metazoa; Chordata; Mammalia; Primates; Cercopithecidae. The record is from RNAcentral.
AUGGCUCCUUAUUUAGAUCAGACAUCUGCUCUUCCAAAUGCACUUUUUUCCACUUGCAAUAAUGGUUCCCAGGGAAGGGCUGCGGGUACUGAUGGGACUGACGGUGGAUGGAAAAACCCAGGCUUUCUGUGUGCCACGCAGCGAUGUUCAGUAACGUCAAAAAUGAAGCCUUUUCCUAUAAAAGGGAUCAACCCAGGCACUACAGGAGUUCCUGGAGGAUACUGGUCUGAAGUUAGCAUGAUCUUGACCCAAGAAACUUACAGUCCUGAUAAGAACUUCCAUCAGAACUCCAGAUGUAAUCCUGGAAAAUUGAUCGACAAAAGCAAAGGACCAAGAAAGCUGCUUAUACCAGUGUCUCCUCCCACCCUCAGCCUCCAGUAGCAUUGCUAUAUUUUUCAGUUUUAUUUGUGUCACUUUAAAUAAGGUAAGCUCUCCUUUGCUGUUCUGGUGUAUUUAGACAUACACGUAUUUUGCUAUCUUGGGUUCUCAUGAUUAUACUCUUACAUCUUUGCACACUUCAUUUGGACCCCUUCCUACUACUUUGAUUUCCCCAUGACUUUGGAGAAAUAAACCCACUUGGCUCUCCUCUCCCUGGUUGCUUUCUCCACUCAUUCUAGCAUCUCUUUGCUCCAUAAAAUUAUGCUCAAUCAAGUAUCACAUUAUUUUUAUCUUUAGUUGUAUAUGUCGUUCCUGUGUCAAAGAGCUUACCCUGUGGGUGCUGUCCAGCCAUCCUGAACAUUUUGCAAGGCAAAUUUAUUUAUUUAUUAUUUUAAGACAGGGUCUCACUGUGUCACCCAGGCUGGAGUGCAGUGGUGUGAUCAUGGCUUACUGCAGCCUCGAACUUCUGGGCUCAAGCAAUUCCCCCACCUUAGCCUCCCAAGUAGCUGGGACUCCAGGCAGGCACCGCCAUGCCCAGUUAACUUUUUAAAUGUUUUUCUAGAGACGAGGUCUCACUAUGCUGCCCAGGGUGGUCUUGGGCUUCUGGGCUCAAGUAAUCCUCUUGCUUUGGCCUCUUAAAAGUGCUGGGACUACAGGCGAGGGCCACCGUGCCCGACGUGGCAAAUUUAUUGAAAAUUGGAGCAAUAUUGAUCCUCUUUGUAUCCCAGUGACUAGCAAGAAGGUAAGAUACCAUGAUUGGCUCAUCACAGCUACUACCUGUAAAUACACUUCUGUGUUAUUCAAACCAGGAGUCAGGAAGGAAAACUAAUUGAAAACUACCUUCUGAGUAUCUGAAUUGGACAAUUGCUGGGGGGAACAGAAUGACAAAGAAGCAGUACCUGCUCCCUAAAGGAGCUUCCCAUCUGCCAGGGGUGCCAAACCAUGAACACAUAGAAAGGUGAAUAGCCACAGCAUGGCAGGCAGGGUAAUGACACCCCUAAAAUGUCCACACCCUGAUCCCCAAACCUGUGAAUAUUAACUUACAUGACAAGAGGAAUUUUGCAGAUGAGAUUAAGGUAAAGCUCUGAGGUGGGAAGAUGGGCCUAGAUUAUCCAGGUGGGCCCAGUGUAGUCAAUGGGGUCCUGGUAAGUGGAAAAAAGAGUCAAGACAGUUGGAGUUAUGCGUGUUAAGAUCGGACAGGGCUGUCUUUGGAAGACGAGAGGGGCCUUGAGCCAAGGAGCGAGAGCAUCUCUGGAAGCUGGCCAAGGCGGGAGGGAACACAGCCCUGUCUACACCCUGAUUUUAAAGGACUUCUGACCUUCAGACUGUAGGAUAACACAGUUGGGUUGUUUUAAGCCACUAAGCUUGUGGAAAUUUGCUAUAGUAGCAUUUGGAAACUAAUACAAAUAGCAAAGUUAAGUGAGAUAAGAAUCCGAAAAAAAAGUGUCAUAGGUCAAUGAGCCAGAAAUCGCCACAUACGGGAGUUUCUACUGCAGUCUCAUAUGUUCAUCCGCCUCAUCGCCCACGAAAACUCUCAUCUCUGGAAAAUGAAGCGUGAAAAGUAAUUAGCUUAUGGGAAAAGUAGAGGCAGACCUUUCAAGACCUAUGGAACUUAUAACCAGAGCCUUGUCACUGUUACCAAGAACAGUAACGAUGUUAACUGAAAUAUCAGCUGGCAUCUCAUCUCCCUCCCACAGUACAUCCUUUGCAGUUUUAUACCUUGAGCUUCUGGUUUCCUCCUUGAGAAUGGAGCAUUCUUUUUUUUUUUUUCAACUUUUAUUUUAGAAUUAGGGGGUACAUGGGCAAAUUUAUUACAAAGCUAUAAUUUCAUGAUACUGAGGUUUGGAGUACAAAUGAAUCUGUCGCCCAGGUAGUGAGCAUAGUACUCAAUAGAUAGUGUUUUUAACCCUUAACCCCCUCUCCUUCUCCUGCCUCUUGUGUUCCCCAGUGUCUACCAUGCCCAUUUUUUGACCAUGUGUACCUAAUGUUUAGCUCCCACUUAUAAGUGAGAACAUGCAGUAUUUGGUUUUCUGUUUAUGAAUUAAUUAGCUUAGAAUAAUGGCCUCCAGGUGCAUCCAUGUUGCUGCAAAAGAUGUGAUCUCAUUCUUUUUUUAUGGCUG